Molecule: ribosomal RNA, 650 nt
Filed under: uncultured bacterium
Lineage: Bacteria
Description: bacterial SSU rRNA
Rfam family: Bacterial small subunit ribosomal RNA
Source: RNAcentral
AGAGUUUGAUCAUGGCUCAGAAUGAACGCUGGCGGCAUGCCUAACACAUGCAAGUCGAACGAGAUCUUCGGAUCUAGUGGCGCACGGGUGAGUAACGCGUGGGAACCUACCUUUUAGUACGGGACAACGUUUGGAAACGAACGCUAAUACCGUAUACGCCCUCCGGGGGAAAGGUCAGCCGCUAAAAGAGGGGCCCGCGUCUGAUUAGCUUGUUGGUAAGGUAAUGGCUUACCAAGGCUUCGAUCAGUAGCUGGUCUGAGAGGAUGAUCAGCCACACUGGGACUGAGACACGGCCCAGACUCCUACGGGAGGCAGCAGUGGGGAAUAUUGGACAAUGGAGGCAACUCUGAUCCAGCAAUGCCGCGUGUGUGAUGAAGGCCCUAGGGUUGUAAAGCACUUUCAACGGUGAAGAUGAUGACGGUAGCCGUAGAAGAAGCCCCGGCUAACUUCGUGCCAGCAGCCGCGGUAAUACGAAGGGGGCGAGCGUUAUUCGGAAUUAUUGGGCGUAAAGGGCUCGCAGGCUGCUUGAACAGUUAGACGUGAAAUCCCCGGGCUCAACCUGGGAACUGCGUUUAAUACUAGCAAGCUAGAGUAAUAGAGAGGAAAGUGGAACUCCCAGUGUAGAGGUGAAAUUCGUAGAUAUUGGGAAG